This 449-nucleotide ribosomal RNA is filed under the name uncultured bacterium. RNAcentral describes it as "partial 16S ribosomal RNA". It matches the Rfam family "Bacterial small subunit ribosomal RNA", at positions 29 to 523 of the family's 1533-position model. The record is from RNAcentral.
AACGAACGCUGGCGGCAUGCCUAACACAUGCAAGUCGAACGAGAUCUUCGGGUCUAGUGGCGCACGGGUGCGUAACGCGUGGGAAUCUGCCCUUUGGUUCGGAAUAACAGUUGGAAACGACUGCUAAUACCGGAUGAUGACGAAAGUCCAAAGAUUUAUCGCCAGAGGAUGAGCCCGCGUAGGAUUAGCUAGUUAGUGUGGUAAAGGCGCACCAAGGCGACGAUCCUUAGCUGGUCUGAGAGGAUGAUCAGCCACACUGGGACUGAGACACGGCCCAGAAUCCUACGGGAGGCAGCAGUGGGGAAUAUUGGACAAUGGGCGAAAGCCUGAUCCAGCGAUGCCGCGUGAGUGAUGAAGGCCUUAGGGUUGUAAAGCUCUUUUACCCGGGAUGAUAAUGACAGUACCGGGAGAAUAAGCUCCGGCUAACUCCGUGCCAGCCGCCGCCGUAA